RNAcentral lists this ribosomal RNA (382 nucleotides) under uncultured eukaryote. Its description in RNAcentral is "partial 18S ribosomal RNA". It matches the Rfam family "Eukaryotic small subunit ribosomal RNA", at positions 592 to 976 of the family's 1831-position model. The record is from RNAcentral.
UGUAAGCGUAUACCAAAGUUGUUGCAGUUAAAACGCUCGUAGUCGGAAUUUGGCAGUUCCGGAUGUGUGCACGUCGUGUGCGCACUUCGCGGGGAUUGCUUUUGUGGUCUUGCGUAGGAUGAGGCACUUUUAUUAGUGAAUGUCCUCACGCAACCACUUUUUACUGUGAGAAAAUCAGAGUGCUCAAAGCAGGCAUUUGCCGUGAAUGUAUUAGCAUGGAAUAAUAGAAUAGGACUUGGUUCUAUUUUGUUGGUUUGUUGGGACUGAGUAAUGAUUAAGAGGGACAGUUGGGGGCAUUUGUAUUUCGGUGCUAGAGGUGAAAUUCUUAGAUUACCGAAAGACAAACUGCUGCGAAAGCGUCUGCCAAGGAUGUUUUCAUUGA